GAUGAACGCUGGCUACAGGCUUAACACAUGCAAGUCGAGGGGAAACGACGGGGAAGCUUGCUUCCCCGGGCGUCGACCGGCGCACGGGUGAGUAACGCGUAUCCAACCUGCCUCUGACUGAGGGAUAACCCGUCGAAAGUCGGCCUAAUACCUCAUGGCAUCGUCUGCGGGCAUCCAACGACGAUUAAAGAUUUCAUCGGUCAGAGAUGGGGAUGCGUCUGAUUAGCUUGUUGGCGGGGUAACGGCCCACCAAGGCGACGAUCAGUAGGGGUUCUGAGAGGAAGGUCCCCCACAUUGGAACUGAGACACGGUCCAAACUCCUACGGGAGGCAGCAGUGAGGAAUGUUGGUCAAUGGGCGAGAGCCUGAACCAGCCAAGUAGCGUGCAGGAUGACGGCCCUAUGGGUUGUAAACUGCUUUUAGGCGGGGAUAAAGUGAGGGACGUGUCCUUCAUUGCAGGUACCGCAUGAAUAAGGACCGGCUAAUUCCGUG
This 491-nucleotide ribosomal RNA is filed under the name uncultured bacterium. RNAcentral describes it as "partial 16S ribosomal RNA". It matches the Rfam family "Bacterial small subunit ribosomal RNA", at positions 28 to 507 of the family's 1533-position model. The record is from RNAcentral.